Long non-coding RNA from Antechinus flavipes (yellow-footed antechinus), 1389 nucleotides. RefSeq lists it as uncharacterized. The transcript is spliced from 3 exons. The record is from RefSeq and is a predicted model, not a curated record. Lineage: Eukaryota; Metazoa; Chordata; Mammalia; Dasyuromorphia; Dasyuridae.
CUGGGUUAGAACCUAAGUAUUAUGACUCCUUCUAAUCUAUUUUUGUUUGUUUGUUUGUUUGAGAAAACCUCUAGAGACUAUGGUUCCUAGGAUAUCACUGGUAGAAUGCUUUCAUCAACUCUGGGGCAUGCAGAUGAGUCCCUUCUAUGUGAACAUGGGAGAAUUUCCAGGCUUCAAAACGACCUGUUCUGUAUCUGAGCUUCCUUCCUGAUAUCCUUCAAAAGGCCCAGAGAAUCACAAGCACCCUGCCUUCUCCUGCUACCUCAGAUAUACAGCUGUAUCUCUUUUUUUCUCAAUGACCCUUAUAACAUCCUGAAAUUCUGACGAUGUGAACAAGAAGAAAGAAUCAGAAUCCCACAGAUCAAUUCUGAUAAAAUGAUAUUGCCACCAGCCCCUUGAUACUUCUUGCUCCGUGGAGAGUAAAGACCCCAGCCAAACCUUGCUCAAGACCAGGAAAUCUUCAGAGGAUCGCAGAUCUGAUGAUACAAGGUCUCAAGUGAGAAAUUCCUUUCAGUCUUUCCAUGGUAAGAGAGCCAGGUCCCUCUCUGUUUACUUAGUUUUGUUAUGGGAACCUGAAUUAGGGUAGUGGCUAAGUGAAUGGAGAGGAGCUUCCUGCCAGCUCUAAGUGGGACCUGAGUGAGUUGUUGCCCCCAGGACAUUAGGGCAGCUAAAGUGGAGAAAGGCUGUCUGGGGUCCUCCCACAUCUUAGAGAAAAACAGGAAGCUGGCAUUUGGAUGGAGGGCUUCUUAGUCUCCUCUUUUCUCUGAUUAUCUAAUAUCCUGAGAUGAGUGUUUACAUAACAAAGCAGAAUGAUUUGCCCAUUCACUGGCUGGGAUGAAGUCUGGUAGAUCUUUUAAUAAUGUGAUUCUCUAGUCCAAGGUAGACUAGUAAUGAGAUGUUUUUUACAGCAGGGGCGGGGAACCUUUUUUCUGGAAGGGCCGUUUGGAUAUUUAUAACAUCUUUUGGGGGCCAUACCAAAUUAUCAACUUAUAAAACUCAAGCAAUGGGAGAUUUUUGACUCUACCUUUCAGCUCAUCAUUGCCUGUGGUUGCUUUAGUAACUGAUUUCUCAGGCCUUAGAUGGCUCCUGCUUUAUAGCCAUUGCAGGGACAUUGUAGUUAUAAGGGUCUGAUCAGAGGAGGCAACAUAUGGGAAAGUUUUGCAAACCUUAAAAUGUUAUGCAAAUAAUGUCGAGUUAAUUUGUCCCCAAGGGCCACAAUUUCAGGCCCCGUUUCUCCUUACCUCUUGCUCAUACUAUUGCAAAAGACUGCUAACCAAACUCUCUGCCACAAGUCUCUCCCUCUCCUGCUCAUUUUCCAUUGUGCCAGUGAUGUUUCAAAGUUCAGUCCUGAACACAUCUUCCCCCCAGUCAAUCAACCAGUUGUUUUUU